Molecule: ribosomal RNA, 253 nt
Filed under: uncultured bacterium
Lineage: Bacteria
Description: partial 16S ribosomal RNA
Rfam family: Bacterial small subunit ribosomal RNA
Source: RNAcentral
UACGUAGGGACCUAGCGUUGUCCGGAAUCAUUGGGCGUAAAGCGCGCGUAGGCGGCCCGGUAAGUCCGUUGUAAAAGUCGAAGGCUCAACCUUCGAAAGCCGGUGGAUACUGCCGGGCUAGAGUCCGGAAGAGGCGAGUGGAACUCCUGGUGUAGCGGUGGAAUGCGCAGAUAUCAGGAAGAACACCAACGGCGAAGGCAGCUCGCUGGGACGGUACUGACGCUGAGACGCGAAAGCGUGGGGAGCGAACAGG